AUGGCACUUCACGCCCCCAAGGCCCCAGGCUUGCCCAGAUGCUCAAGGAGGGAGCCACACACUUUUCAGGAUUAGAAGAGGCUGUGUAUAGAAAUAUACAUGCUUGCAAGAAGCUUGCCCAAGCCACCCGUACAACAAAUGGACCAAAUGGAAUGAACAAAAUGGCUAUCAGCCACCUGGAGAAGCUGUUGGUGCCAAAUGACGCAGCAACUAUGUUAAGAGCACUAGAAGUUCAGCAUCGUGCUGCAAAAAUGACUGUGAUGGCCUCUCAUGGGCAAGAACAAGAGGGCGGAGGUGGCACAAAGUUGGUUCUGGUCUUUGCUGGAGCUCUUCUGGAAUUAGCUGAAGAACUUCUGAAGACUGGCCUGUCAGUUUCAGACGUUACAGAAGGGUACAAAGCAGUCUGCAAAAAAGCCCAUGAAAUUCUUUCUGAUUUAGUAUGCUGUUCUGCAAAAAACCUUCGGGAUGCUGAAGCAUCAGCUCUGCUUCGUACCUCCAUAAUGAAUAACAGUAUGGGAAUGAAGCAUUUCUAGCCAAACCGAUUGCUCAGGCAUGUGUAUCUAUUUUUCCUGACUCUGGCCAUUUCAAAGUUGAUAACAUCAGAAUUUAGAAAAUUCUGGGCUCUGGUAUCUUCCUCUUCAGUAUUACAUGGCAUGGUUUUUAAGAAGGAAACUGAAGGUGAUGUAAUAUCUGUCAAGGAAGCAAAAACUGCAGUGUACUCAUGCCCUUCUGAUGGCAUGAUAACAGAAACUAAGGAGUACUGAUAAAGACAGUUGAAGAAUUGAUAAAUUUUAGUAAAGGAGAAGAAAAUCUUGUGGAUGCACAAGUCAAAGCUAUUGCUGAUAGUGGUGCAGAUAUUGUAACAGGUGGCAAAGUGGUGGACAUGGCUCUUCACUAUGCAAACAAAAUAUGCUGGUGAGGCUUAACCUGAAAUGGGAUCUUAAGGACAAACAGUGCUACAGCUCUUCCUAGACUGACUCCUCCUGUCCUGGAAGAAAUGGAACACUGUAACAGCAUGUACCUCUCAGAAGUUGGAGACACACAGGUGGUGAUUUUUACACAUGAAAAAGAAGAUGGUGCCAUUUCUACUAUUGUAUUUUGAGGUUCUACUGACAGUCUAAUGGAUGGCAUAGAAAGGGCAUGGAUGACAUGGUGGUGUUAACACUUUCAAAAUUCUCACAGAGGAUAAACGUCUUGUACCUGGAGCUGGCGCAACAGAAACUGGCCAAACAGAUCACAUCAUACGGAGAGGCCUGUCCUGGACUUGAACAAUACACUAUCAAGAAGUUUGCUGAGGCUUUUGAGGCUAUCCCAUGGGCACGGGCAGAGAAUUUGCCACCUGUUACGAUGACAUCUGCACUAGUAUAAGUUAAGGCCAAUGAAGCAAUCUCUAAACUUUAUGCAGUGCAUCAAGAAGCAAAUAACAAUGUUGGAUUAGAUGUUGAGGCUGAAGUUCCUACUGUAAAGGACGUGCUGGAAGCUGGUGUUCUAGAUACUUAUCCGAGAAAAUACUGGGCUUUAUCAAGUUGGCUACUAAUGCUGCAGUCACUGUACUUGGAGCUGAUCAGAUCAUCAUGGCCAAACCAGCCAGGGGGCCCAAGCUUCCAAGUGGAAAGAAGGAUUGGGAUGAUGACCAAAAUGAGUGA
Molecule: RNA transcript, 1646 nt
Organism: Octodon degus (degu)
Lineage: Eukaryota; Metazoa; Chordata; Mammalia; Rodentia; Octodontidae
Gene name: T-complex protein 1 subunit theta pseudogene
Exons: 1
Source: RefSeq, a predicted model, not a curated record